GCGGUCGGGGUGUUGCUGGCCAUCGGCGCCGUGGUGCUGGUGGUGCUGCUCGGCGCGGCCGCCCGGUCGACCACCCGGUUCCGCCGCCGGGCCAUCCGCG
RNAcentral lists this transfer RNA (100 nucleotides) under Catellatospora sp. TT07R-123. RNAcentral describes it as "tRNA-Thr". Lineage: Bacteria; Bacillati; Actinomycetota; Actinomycetes; Micromonosporales; Micromonosporaceae. The record is from RNAcentral.